CACGUAGGCGGUGAAUCGGGUUGAAAGUGAAAGUCGCCAAAAAGUGGCGGAAUGCUCUCGAAACCAAUUCACUUGAGUGAGACAGAGGAGAGUGGAAUUUCGUGUGUAGAGGUGAAAUCCGUAGAUCUACGAAGGAACGCCAAAAGCGAAGGCAGCUCUCUGGGUCCCUACCGACGCUGGGGUGCGAAAGCAUGGGGAGCGAACA
RNAcentral lists this ribosomal RNA (205 nucleotides) under uncultured bacterium. RNAcentral's name for it is "partial 16S ribosomal RNA". It matches the Rfam family "Bacterial small subunit ribosomal RNA", at positions 568 to 774 of the family's 1533-position model. The record is from RNAcentral.